CGCACCUUGCGCCCUUUGGUAUUCCGAUGGGCAUGCCUGUUUGAGUGUCUUGAAAUCAUCAAGCGACCUGCGUUUUGCGACGUGGGGAGCUUGGAGUUGGGAGCUGCAGCCCUCGUCGGGCGGCUCUCCCCAAAUGCAUCGGUGUGGACCGUGCGGUCGCAAGUCUUUGAAGGGCGUUGUAUCAUCCUCGCUCCGAAAGGCGCUUGAGCGUGCCGUGUUGGACCCGCCUCGACUUAGCCUUCAGAGUGGCGGUCACUUUCUUGACUUCUGACCUCAAAUCAGGUAGGACUACCCGCUGAACUUAA
RNAcentral lists this unclassified non-coding RNA (305 nucleotides) under Trechispora sp. RNAcentral's name for it is "partial contains 5.8S ribosomal RNA, internal transcribed spacer 2, and large subunit ribosomal RNA". The record is from RNAcentral. Lineage: Eukaryota; Fungi; Basidiomycota; Agaricomycetes; Trechisporales; Hydnodontaceae.